GCCUGAACCAGCGACGCCGCGUGAAGGAUGAAGGUUUUCGGAUCGUAAACUUCUGUGGUAAGGGAAAAAUGCCAUUGAGAGUGGAAAGCUCGAUGGAGAGAUGGUACCUUACUAGAAAGCCCCGGCUAACUACGUG
Molecule: ribosomal RNA, 136 nt
Filed under: uncultured bacterium
Lineage: Bacteria
Description: partial 16S ribosomal RNA
Rfam family: Bacterial small subunit ribosomal RNA
Source: RNAcentral